This 395-nucleotide long non-coding RNA is filed under the name Glycine max (soybean). RNAcentral describes it as "long non-coding RNA (GMAX_LNC000733)". Lineage: Eukaryota; Viridiplantae; Streptophyta; Magnoliopsida; Fabales; Fabaceae. The record is from RNAcentral.
GGAUUCGUGAUUUAUAUAGGCAGGGUUCAUGUCAUAAUUUGUGUCACACUUCAUUGAGCAUCACAUUAAAUUCAAUUAGCAACUUCUUACCAAAAAAAGAAAUUCAAUAAGCAAGUGGAGCAUAGCAUCCAAUGGGCAGAAACCAACAAGGGGGAAGGUAGAGUCAGCAAGGCAACACGUUUCUCUUUCGUUCAAAUCAAGGUUUUCAAAAUCACAACCUGCGAUAAGUUUUGUUGAUAACCUAAUUUGUAGUUAGUACUUGUUUGUUUUCAAUUUAUAUUGGGUUUGUAAGCUUGAAUUUAGAUUACCAUCCAAGUGUUUUCAAUUUUUUCUCCAAAUUUUCUCUACCCAAAUAAAUUUUGGUACCGGUAGUCCUUAGCGUUACGUUAUUAGAA